CAAGGGGUAGUUUAAUUAGAAUGUCAGCUUUGGGUGCUGAUGGUGGGGUCUGGGCCUCUCCCUUGA
Molecule: transfer RNA, 66 nt
Filed under: Nyctimene cephalotes
Lineage: Eukaryota; Metazoa; Chordata; Mammalia; Chiroptera; Pteropodidae
Description: tRNA-Pro
Source: RNAcentral